This 85-nucleotide non-coding RNA is filed under the name Chloroflexota bacterium. Its description in RNAcentral is "Chloroflexi bacterium c-di-GMP-II sequence". It matches the Rfam family "Cyclic di-GMP-II riboswitch aptamer". Lineage: Bacteria; Bacillati; Chloroflexota. The record is from RNAcentral.
GAUGGUGUGGGGUGCGUUGAUCCGUCAUCCGCAUCUUGGACACUUGGGUGACGAGGAGCCAAUAGUGAAACCGACCCACACGGGU